GGGACACGUGGUAUCCUGUCUGAAUAUGGGGGGACCAUCCUCCAAGGCUAAAUACUCCUGACUGACCGAUAGUGAACCAGUACCGUGAGGGAAAGGCGAAAAGAACCCCGGCGAGGGGAGUGAAAAAGAACCUGAAACCGUGUACGUACAAGCAGUGGGAGCACCUUCGGGUGUGACUGCGUACCUUUUGUAUAAUGGGUCAGCGACUUAUAUUCUGUAGCAAGGUUAACCGUAUAGGGGAGCCGCAGGGAAACCGAGUCUUAACUGGGCGUUAAGUUGCAGGGUAUAGACCCGAAACCCGGUGAUCUAGCCAUGGGCAGGUUGAAGGUUGGGUAACACUAACUGGAGGACCGAACCGACUAAUGUUGAAAAAUUAGCGGAUGACUUGUGGCUGGGGGUGAAAGGCCAAUCAAACCGGGAGAUAGCUGGUUCUCCCCGAAAGCUAUUUAGGUAGCGCCUCGUGAACUCAUCUUCGGGGGUAGAGCACUGUUUCGGCUAGGGGGUCAUCCCGACUUACCAACCCGAUGCAAACUACGAAUACCGAAGAAUGUUAUCACGGGAGACACACGGCGGGUGCUAACGUCCGUCGUGAAGAGGGAAACAACCCAGACCGCCAGCUAAGGUCCCAAAGUCAUGGUUAAGUGGGAAACGAUGUGGGAAGGCACAGACAGCCAGGAUGUUGGCUUAGAAGCAGCCAUCAUUUAAAGAAAGCGUAAUAGCUCACUGGUCGAGUCGGCCUGCGCGGAAGAUGUAACGGGGCUAAACCAUGCACCGAAGCUGCGGCAGCGACACUAUGUGUUGUUGGGUAGGGGAGCGUUCUGUAAGCCUGCGAAGGUGACCUGUGAGGGUUGCUGGAGGUAUCAGAAGUGCGAAUGCUGACAUAAGUAACGAUAAAGCGGGUGAAAAGCCCGCUCGCCGGAAGACCAAGGGUUCCUGUCCAACGUUAAUCGGGGCAGGGUGAGUCGACCCCUAAGGCGAGGCCGAAAGGCGUAGUCGAUGGGAAACAGGUUAAUAUUCCUGUACUUGGUGUUACUGCGAAGGGGGGACGGAGAAGGCUAUGUUAGCCGGGCGACGGUUGUCCCGGUUUAAGCAUGUAGGCUGGUUAUCCAGGCAAAUCCGGAUAAUCAAGGCUGAGGUGUGAUGACGAGGCACUACGGUGCUGAAGUAACAAAUGCCCUGCUUCCAGGAAAAGCCUCUAAGCAUCAGGUAACAUCAAAUCGUACCCCAAACCGACACAGGUGGUCAGGUAGAGAAUACCAAGGCGCUUGAGAGAACUCGGGUGAAGGAACUAGGCAAAAUGGUGCCGUAACUUCGGGAGAAGGCACGCUGGUGUGUAGGUGAAGUCCCUGCGGAUGGAGCUGAGACCAGUCGAAGAUACCAGCUGGCUGCAACUGUUUAUUAAAAACACAGCACUGUGCAAACACGAAAGUGGACGUAUACGGUGUGACGCCUGCCCGGUGCCGGAAGGUUAAUUGAUGGGGUUAUCCGUAAGGAGAAGCUCUUGAUCGAAGCCCCGGUAAACGGCGGCCGUAACUAUAACGGUCCUAAGGUAGCGAAAUUCCUUGUCGGGUAAGUUCCGACCUGCACGAAUGGCGUAAUGAUGGCCAGGCUGUCUCCACCCGAGACUCAGUGAAAUUGAACUCGCUGUGAAGAUGCAGUGUACCCGCGGCAAGACGGAAAGACCCCGUGAACCUUUACUAUAGCUUGACACUGAACAUUGAGCCUUGAUGUGUAGGAUAGGUGGGAGGCUUUGAAGCGUGGACGCCAGUCUGCGUGGAGCCAACCUUGAAAUACCACCCUUUAAUGUUUGAUGUUCUAACGUUGGCCCCUGACCGGGGUUGCGGACAGUGUCUGGUGGGUAGUUUGACUGGGGCGGUCUCCUCCCAAAGCGUAACGGAGGAGCACGAAGGUUAGCUAAUCCUGGUCGGACAUCAGGAGGUUAGUGCAAUGGCAUAAGCUAGCUUGACUGCGAGCGUGACGGCGCGAGCAGGUGCGAAAGCAGGUCAUAGUGAUCCGGUGGUUCUGAAUGGAAGGGCCAUCGCUCAACGGAUAAAAGGUACUCCGGGGAUAACAGGCUGAUACCGCCCAAGAGUUCAUAUCGACGGCGGUGUUUGGCACCUCGAUGUCGGCUCAUCACAUCCUGGGGCUGAAGUAGGUCCCAAGGGUAUGGCUGUUCGCCAUUUAAAGUGGUACGCGAGCUGGGUUUAGAACGUCGUGAGACAGUUCGGUCCCUAUCUGCCGUGGGCGCUGGAGAAUUGAGGGGGGCUGCUCCUAGUACGAGAGGACCGGAGUGGACGCAUCACUGGUGUUCGGGUUGUCAUGCCAAUGGCACUGCCCGGUAGCUAAA
Molecule: ribosomal RNA, 2347 nt
Filed under: Klebsiella pneumoniae
Lineage: Bacteria; Pseudomonadati; Pseudomonadota; Gammaproteobacteria; Enterobacterales; Enterobacteriaceae
Description: partial 23S ribosomal RNA
Rfam family: Bacterial large subunit ribosomal RNA
Source: RNAcentral